This 268-nucleotide long non-coding RNA is filed under the name Vigna radiata. RNAcentral's name for it is "long non-coding RNA (VRAD_LNC002041)". The record is from RNAcentral. Lineage: Eukaryota; Viridiplantae; Streptophyta; Magnoliopsida; Fabales; Fabaceae.
UUUGUGUUUCAUUUAGAUUAUUAUAAUGUGCACUUAAAUGUUUAGCUUAAGCAUUGCAUUUUUAAUAACUUUAACUGCAUUUGGAUAUGUGUUAGUUUAAUAGUGAUGUUAGCUUAGGUUGUUGAGUUGGUCAUUAGCUAUAUUGUGAUGUUUCUUUGAGAUUUCUGAACUGUAACUGUGGUUGCUACUAUGACCUUGGUUAAUGUGAAACUUGUAUUCGCACUUGCAAUUGUGUAUAUGCUUAGUUGCCCAGUUGGUGUUACAUCUU